Molecule: ribosomal RNA, 253 nt
Filed under: uncultured bacterium
Lineage: Bacteria
Description: partial 16S ribosomal RNA
Rfam family: Bacterial small subunit ribosomal RNA
Source: RNAcentral
UACGUAGGAGACAAGCGUUGUCCGGAAUUACUGGGUGUAAAGCGCGUGUAGGCGGUAGGCCAAGUCUGCUGUGAAAUCGCCCGGCUCAACUGGGCGCGGUCGGUGGAAACUGGUCAACUGGAGGACGGUAGAGGCGAGUGGAAUUCCCGGUGUAGUGGUGAAAUGCGUAGAGAUCGGGAGGAACACCAGUGGCGAAGGCGACUACCUGGCCUGUUCUUGACGCUGAGGCGCGAAAGCCAGGGGAGCAAACGGG